Molecule: ribosomal RNA, 432 nt
Filed under: uncultured bacterium
Lineage: Bacteria
Description: partial 16S ribosomal RNA
Rfam family: Bacterial small subunit ribosomal RNA
Source: RNAcentral
ACGAACGCCGGCGGCAGGCCUCACACAUGCAAGUCGCGCGGACCUUUCGGGGUCAGCGGCGGACGGGUGAGUAACGCGUGGGAAUAUGCCCUUCUCUACGGAAUAGUCCUGGGAAACUGGGGGUAAUACCGUAUACGCCCUUUGGGGGAAAGAUUUAUCGGGGAAGGAUUAGCCCGCGUUGGAUUAGGUAGUUGGUGGGGUAAUGGCCUACCAAGCCGACGAUCCAUAGCUGGUUUGAGAGGAUGAUCAGCCACACUGGGACUGAGACACGGCCCAGACUCCUACGGGAGGCAGCAGUGGGGAAUCUUAGACAAUGGGGGCAACCCUGAUCUAGCCAUGCCGCGUGAGUGAUGAAGGCCUUAGGGUUGUAAAGCUCUUUCAGCUGGGAAGAUAAUGACGGUACCAGCAGAAGAAGCCCCGGCUAACUCCGUG